Molecule: ribosomal RNA, 548 nt
Filed under: uncultured bacterium
Lineage: Bacteria
Description: bacterial SSU rRNA
Rfam family: Bacterial small subunit ribosomal RNA
Source: RNAcentral
UAGGGAAUCUUCGGCAAUGGGGGGAACCCUGACCGAGCAACGCCGCGUGAGUGAAGAAGGUUUUCGGAUCGUAAAGCUCUGUUGUUAAGGAAGAACGAGUGUGAGAAUGGAAAGUUCAUACUGUGACGGUACUUAACCAGAAAGGGACGGCUAACUACGUGCCAGCAGCCGCGGUAAUACGUAGGUCCCGAGCGUUGUCCGGAUUUAUUGGGCGUAAAGCGAGCGCAGGCGGUUAGAUAAGUCUGAAGUUAAAGGCAGUGGCUCAACCAUUGUAGGCUUUGGAAACUGUUUAACUUGAGUGCAGAAGGGGAGAGUGGAAUUCCAUGUGUAGCGGUGAAAUGCGUAGAUAUAUGGAGGAACACCGGUGGCGAAAGCGGCUCUCUGGUCUGUAACUGACGCUGAGGCUCGAAAGCGUGGGGAGCGAACAGGAUUAGAUACCCUGGUAUCCCCGCCGUAAACCAUGAGUGCUAGGUGUUAGGUCCUUUCCGGGACUUAGUGCCGCAGCUAACGCAUUAAGCACUCCGCCUGGGGAGUACGACCGCAAGGUU